UUUUAUCAAAAUAUGUACUCAUCAUUAUUAUUUUUUCUUUUUUUAUCAAUUUAGGACUUUUAUUUCUUUACUACCAGUUCAAAUUUUGAGUCUUUUAUCUUGUCAACCCUUUCAUUAACCUUAAUCUCUUUUUAUUUGGCCUAUGAUUAGCUAUGGCGUUGCCCUUUUAUCCAAGGCCAGCAAUAACCUAUCUGAGUCAACUUAGUAAAAGACCUAAGUCACCGCUCUCUCUCAUUUCACACCCCACCCGGCCCGGUCGUAUACACAACUCCACCCCCUGGACCAAAGCCGCCGCCGCCGCGUUGCCGCCCCGUCGCCGCCCCUCACCAGCACCAAGGUUAGAUCCACUACUCCUUAGUUCGCGGACACGUCACACGGCCGGGAUCCAUUGGGAUUUGCUUUGUGUCAUGUAGAUUCCAAAGUUAGUUGCAUGGAUUGCUUCGUGUAGAAAUUGUAGUGAUAAUCUGAUUGCUAGUGUAGAAUUUAUUUACUUGUGUGUCUCCCUCUGUUGGCGGAUCUGAGCUAGUUUAGUAGAAAUUGAUAUAUUUAGUAGAAAUGGAUAGAAUGUGUUAUGUGUAGAAUUUAUUUACUUGUGUGUGUCUCCCUCCGUUGGCGGAUCUGGGCAAGUUUAGUAGAAAUUGAUAUAUUUAGUAGAAAUUGAUAGAAUGUGUUAUGUGUAGAAUUUAUUUACUUGUGUGUCUCCCUCCGUUGGCGGAUCAGAGCUAGUUUAGUAGAAAUUGAUAUAUUUAGUGGAAAUGGAUAGAAUGUGUUAUGUGUAUAAUUUAUUUACUUGUGUGUCUCCCUCCGUUGGCGGAUCAGAGCUAGUUUAAUAAAACUUGAUAUAUUUAGUAGAAAUGGAUAGAAUGUGUUAUGUUUAGAAAUCAGGGCACUUGUCGAGCUUUUCUAUGGAUUGAUCCUCUAUAACCAACAUAUCUAGUUUGCUAUGCAAUUUGCUGUUGUAGGUCACCACAUGCUAUCUAGUUUAAUUAGUUCUAUACAUUGCAAUAUUUGAACUACUUUACACUGGUGUCAAUAUUCAGUGAUAUGAAAUUGCAUAUUAUCUUGAUCGUAUACGCGUUGUGUUUGUAGGUCAUGGCCAAUUUUGAAGGCAACAACGAAUCAGUGUGCGAUGUGGACAUGGCCAACAAUGAAUUCUUAAACACUUAUGAGUAUAUCAUCAAGAGCGUGCAAGGGGAAAAUGACGAGCUAAAGGGGGAGAUUAAAGAGCUACGCAAGGAGACUGUUCGGCUCGUUCAGGAGACUAAUCAGCUUAGGGACAAGAGGGAUAAGCUCGUCGAGAAUCGGGAUAAACUAAAGGAGGAGAGGAGACUCCUCAGGGCUGAGAGGAUUGACCUGAAGAUGGGCAUAGAUCAUUAAAGCAGAGAAGGAGAGGGGGAUAGAAAGAAGCUUCGCCAGCUGGGCAUACUCCUUGAUGAAGAUUAGUUUUUGGCAAUGACUGUUGGAAAUAUGCCCUAGAGGCAAUAAUAAAUGGUUAUUAUUAUAUUUCUUUGUUCAUGGUAAUUGUCUAUUAUUCAUGCUAUAAUUGUAUUGUCCGGAAAUCGUAAUACAUGUGUGAAUGCAUAG
This 1584-nucleotide long non-coding RNA is filed under the name Triticum aestivum (bread wheat). RNAcentral's name for it is "long non-coding RNA (TAES_LNC008493)". The record is from RNAcentral. Lineage: Eukaryota; Viridiplantae; Streptophyta; Magnoliopsida; Poales; Poaceae.